This 490-nucleotide ribosomal RNA is filed under the name uncultured delta proteobacterium. Its description in RNAcentral is "bacterial SSU rRNA". It matches the Rfam family "Bacterial small subunit ribosomal RNA", at positions 9 to 479 of the family's 1533-position model. The record is from RNAcentral. Lineage: Bacteria; Deltaproteobacteria.
GAGUUUGAUCCUGGCUCAGAACGAACGUUAGCGGCGCGCCUAACACAUGCAAGUCGCACGAGAAAGGGCUUCGGCCCCGGUAAAGUGGCGCACGGGUGAGUAACACGUGGGUAAUCUGCCCUCGAGCGGGGGAUAACGGUCCGAAAGGACCGCUAAUACCGCAUAAGACCACGACCUCGAAAGAGGAUGCGGUCAAAGCUGGCCUCUAUUCAUAAGCUAGCACUUGAGGAUGAGCCCGCGGCGCAUCAGCUAGUUGGUGAGGUAAUGGCUCACCAAGGCUAAGACGCGUAGCUGGUCUGAGAGGAUGAUCAGCCACACUGGAACUGAGACACGGUCCAGACUCCUACGGGAGGCAGCAGUGGGGAAUCUUGCGCAAUGGGCGAAAGCCUGACGCAGCGACGCCGCGUGAGUGAUGAAGGCCUUCGGGUUGUAAAGCUCUGUGGGGAGAGACGAAUAAGUAGAAGCGAAUACCUUCUAUGAUGACGGUAUC